CACGUUCUCGUACGAUCACCGAAGUUAAGCAUCGUAGAGCCAGGUCAGUACUUAGAUGGGGGACCGCUUAAAUACCUGGUACUGUAAG
Molecule: non-coding RNA, 88 nt
Organism: Acanthosepion pharaonis
Lineage: Eukaryota; Metazoa; Mollusca; Cephalopoda; Sepiida; Sepiidae
Source: the annotation of a GenBank genome assembly